UCGUACAAACAUGUGUUGAGGGCGUGUGAGGGCUGUCGCUGACUUUUCGACACAAAAGUUGUGCACGCCGGAGCACGUCCUCUCACAUAAAAUCCAUCUCACCCUUUCGUGCACCACCGCGUGGGCACCCUUUGGGAUCGAAUCGAUCCAGGAGGGGGCUUGCGUUUUCACACAAACCCCUUUUAAAAAGUGUAGAAUGACCCCACUUUGCGAUGACACGCAAUCAAUA
Molecule: unclassified non-coding RNA, 229 nt
Filed under: Lactarius akahatsu
Lineage: Eukaryota; Fungi; Basidiomycota; Agaricomycetes; Russulales; Russulaceae
Description: ITS1
Source: RNAcentral